UACGUAGGGGGCAAGCGUUGUCCGGAAUCAUUGGGCGUAAAGCGCGCGUAGGCGGCCCGGUAAGUCCGCUGUAAAAGUCCAGGGCUCAACCCUGGAAAGCCGGUGGAUACUGUCGGGCUAGAGUCCGGAAGAGGCGAGUGGAAUUCCUGGUGUAGCGGUGGAAUGCGCAGAUAUCGGCAGGAACACCCAGGGGGAAACCAGUGGACUGGGCAGGAGCUGACGCUCAGGUGCGAAAGCGUGGGGAGCGAACCGG
Molecule: ribosomal RNA, 253 nt
Filed under: uncultured bacterium
Lineage: Bacteria
Description: partial 16S ribosomal RNA
Rfam family: Bacterial small subunit ribosomal RNA
Source: RNAcentral